Long non-coding RNA from Orcinus orca (killer whale), 1366 nucleotides. RefSeq lists it as uncharacterized. The transcript is spliced from 7 exons. The record is from RefSeq and is a predicted model, not a curated record. Lineage: Eukaryota; Metazoa; Chordata; Mammalia; Artiodactyla; Delphinidae.
UGGCCAAAAAAGAAAAAAAAACAAAAUAAAAAACCACGGUGGAUCCCCAGAACCAAAUUAAUAAGAGUCUGAAUUUGCAAAGAAAAGGACAAUGUAAAAUUGUGCCUUCCUCUCUCAACCAGGCACCACAGAGAGAGACCGGGGAGAAGUGACUGGUAAAAAGUCUCACGCUUUGCCAGCUUCCGCUAGCUCUCCCAGGAUGCCGUCUGCAGGCUCUAGAGAAGAGGAAGAGGAAUUUUUCUUCUCCCCUUUAUAGUGAGUCGUUGGCUGAGACUUCUCUUUUUCUAGGGCAUCUUGUAAAUGGAUAAGCUUACUGAAGUUGAAAGUUCUCCACUAUGGCCUCUCUAAUUCAAGAUUAUCUUUGAUAAGUUUAACCUGCUAGUUCAGCCUUAAAACACAAUUUUUUUCACCUGAGGCCUCAUACCGGCUCGCUCCGGCUCAAGUCAGAUCCAGGCGUGAGCCUUUCUACGUCAGACCAAUCAGCUUCCAUCAGGUUUCCGGACCCAGGCCAGAAAAAGGAAGGCUCAGAUGGUCGGAAAGCUCAUGAGGCAAGAGCUGCGGGUCCAGGAUCCAGGACCGCGAGGACUUGCCCAGCACCUCCGGAGGCAGCGAGAAAACAGCCAGCUCCAGGGACUCAGCAGGGAAACUCAAGAUUUAUAGUAAAUGAAUGACAGCAGUUCAAGAAUCACUUCUUCCUGUGGUACCUUCCGGAGGACGAAGGUAAAAAUCACCCAGAUACAGGGGUGAUUGAUGAGGUGUUCAGAGCCUCAGCAUCAGUGGCGACCACAGAGGAGUUGAGGACUUAAGAUCUUAUGGGAAAGAUAAGGUAUGAAGGUGAAACUGCCCAUUUUGUUCCCUGCUCUAUCUACAGUCAGACAUCAGAACAGUUCCUGGUUCCCAGUAAGCACUAAAUAGAUAAGAAAGGAGAAAGAGCAGAGGAGAGAAAAUUGAUGCCUGGAGCUAAGGCUGUAAGAAGGAGAUAAACAACAACAUCAAUUUAGAGAUGGGAAGUGGUAUGGACAGUGAAAGAGGAAGUGAGGAACAGGGCUGAACCUGAUUCACCACAAAUUGGAAAACCUGGGGAGCUGGACAGAAGUAUGUAUUACAGGCUCGUAGCACCGGAGGUUUCUGCCGGAGCAGACAACUUGAGGAAGGCUGGCCCUGCUGAACACAGUGGACUGAUCGGGUCUGGACCCCUCCUCCACAGGUGCGGACUUCAUCUUGGACAAGCAUCACUAUAUGGAUUGGCAUUUGAGAGGAAAAAAUACGUUGAGCGUGGAUUCCUUUUAUUGCCCUGCCUUGUGCAGAGGCUGCUGACCGCUGCUGGGUGAGGCUGUGUCACAAGGUGGCUGGCUGCAGAACCCUG